UACGGAGGGUGCAAGCGUUAUCCGGAUUCACUGGGUUUGAAGGGUGCGUAGGUGGCUUUGUAAGUCAGUGGUGAAAUGCCGGAGCUUAACUCCGGAACUGCCAUUGAUACUGCUUAGCUUGAAUCACGUCGAGGUGGAUGGAAUAUUACAUGUAGCGGUGAAAUGCUUAGAUAUGUAAUAGAACACCGAUUGCGAAGGCAGUUCACUAGGCGUGUAUUGACACUGAGGCACGAAAGCGUGGGGAUCAAACAGG
Molecule: ribosomal RNA, 253 nt
Filed under: uncultured bacterium
Lineage: Bacteria
Description: partial 16S ribosomal RNA
Rfam family: Bacterial small subunit ribosomal RNA
Source: RNAcentral